UGGGGAAUAUUGGACAAUGGAGGCAACUCUGAUCCAGCAAUUCUGUGUGUGUGAAGAAGGUUUUAGGACUGUAAAACACUUUUAGUAGGGAAGAAAGAAAUGACGGUACCUACAGAAGAAGCGACGGCUAAAUACGUGCCAGCAGCCGCGGUAAUACGUAUGUCGCGAGCGUUAUCCGGAAUUAUUGGGCUUAAAGGGCAUCUAGGCGGUUAAACAAGUUAAAGGUGAAAACCUGUGGCUCAACCAUAGGCUUGCCUACAAAACUGUAUAACUAGAGUACUGGAAAGGUGGGUGGAACUACACGAGUAGAGGUGAAAUUCGUAGAUAUGUGUAGGAAUGCCGAUGAUGAAGAUAACUCACUGGACAGCAACUGACGCUGAAGUGCGAAAGCUAGGGGAGCAAACAGG
Molecule: ribosomal RNA, 407 nt
Filed under: Verrucomicrobiota bacterium
Lineage: Bacteria; Pseudomonadati; Verrucomicrobiota
Description: Verrucomicrobia bacterium partial 16S ribosomal RNA
Rfam family: Bacterial small subunit ribosomal RNA
Source: RNAcentral